RNAcentral lists this ribosomal RNA (242 nucleotides) under uncultured bacterium. Its description in RNAcentral is "partial 16S ribosomal RNA". It matches the Rfam family "Bacterial small subunit ribosomal RNA", at positions 15 to 244 of the family's 1533-position model. The record is from RNAcentral.
GAUCCUGGCUCAGGAUGAACGCUAGCUACAGGCUUAACACAUGCAAGUCGAGGGGAAACGACAUCGAAAGCUUGCUUUUGAUGGGCGUCGACCGGCGCACGGGUGAGUAACGCGUAUCCAACCUGCCUACCACUUGGGGGAUAACCUUGCGAAAGUAAGACUAAUGCCCAAUGACAUCCCACGAAGGCAUCCGAAUGGGAUUAAAGAUUUAUCGGUGAUGGAUGGGGGAUGCGUCUGAUUAG